Molecule: ribosomal RNA, 301 nt
Filed under: uncultured bacterium
Lineage: Bacteria
Description: partial 16S ribosomal RNA
Rfam family: Bacterial small subunit ribosomal RNA
Source: RNAcentral
CAGCCGCCACGGUAAUACGAAGGGGGCUAGCGUUGUUCGGAAUUACUGGGCGUAAAGCGCACGUAGGCGGAUAUUUAAGUCAGGGGUGAAAUCCCAGAGCUCAACUCUGGAACUGCCUUUGAUACUGGGUAUCUUGAGUAUGGAAGAGGUGAGUGGAAUUCCGAGUGUAGAGGUGAAAUUCGUAGAUAUUCGGAGGAACACCAGUGGCGAAGGCGGUUCACUGGUCCAUUACUGACGCUGAGGUGCGAAAGCGUGGGGAGCAAACAGGAUUAGAUACCCCGGUAGUCCCUGUCUCUUAUAC